UGAGAGCUCCAAGCACCGCGACUGCCGCACUGGACCUGGAUGCCCUGCCAGGUGACUUUGAGGUUGCACCAGAAAAGAGGCUCUUGGCCCAGUCCACAGCUCCACUCCCAAGCGACCCCUGUCAUCCUGGUCCGAGAUGGUGCAUCAAGGCCGGUUUCCAGACUUGAUUGAGAGGCUAGCUUCUCCAUGACCACAACCGCGGCUAACCCUCCAAAAACACUUCUGGGCGCAACUGGCUAAGACUCGAGCGCUGUGAAGACAGCUCGUCUAUCUACCAUGAGAAGCACCUGACAGAGGAUGCUGCAGGAGGCCGCAUUCAGAUGCUCGGGGGGGGUCUUCCACCAACCCAGCCACCUCAGUCCUCUACCUCCUAUCAGACAACGCACUGCACGCUGCCAGCAGAGCACCAACAAACCCGUCCUGAAGAGAGACCUGUCUUUACAGAGGAUCAAAUCUCCAGGUUGAAACCCAGGGCAUCUUUAAAGUCAGUGGAAGAAAAAAACACCUCGUCCUAGUGCUUCCACAGAAACUUCGUAAACUUCUCUUCUAGCUCCUUCCUCUCCAGCUGUGUUGACUCAGUGCAUGAAUGGCUCAUUUUGAGUUAUUGCUUCAUUUCCAGAAUCUAUCUCUCCCUGCCUAUUCAAUGUCUGUCAGAUUUAUGAGUAUGAUUUUUUUAUUAUUGUUCUUCAGUAUGGAUAUUGAUAAAGCUUGUGGCCGGAACUAGGCGGGCUGGAAUCAGAGUGACAUUUAGGAAGAGAGAGAGACUUGGAUGAUAAAUGCUCUGCCAGGUUCUCGGAUUUCGCUCACCUGAAAAGAUGAUUGUUUCUGGUUGACAUUUGAAGCCUGAUGCAGAGACCAAAAUGUCAAAUAAAUCUCUUUCCAUUU
Molecule: long non-coding RNA, 885 nt
Organism: Notolabrus celidotus (New Zealand spotty)
Lineage: Eukaryota; Metazoa; Chordata; Actinopteri; Labriformes; Labridae
Exons: 2
Source: RefSeq, a predicted model, not a curated record